GAUGAACGCUAGCUACAGGCUUAACACAUGCAAGUCGAGGGGAAACGGCAUUGAGUGCUUGCACUCUUUGGACGUCGACCGGCGCACGGGUGAGUAACGCGUAUCCAACCUUCCCAUUACUGUGGGAUAACCUGCCGAAAGGCAGACUAAUACCGCAUAGUCUUCGAUGACGGCAUCAGAUUUGAAGUAAAGAUUUAUCGGUAAUGGAUGGGGAUGCGUCUGAUUAGCUUGUUGGCGGGGUAACGGCCCACCAAGGCUACGAUCAGUAGGGGUUCUGAGAGGAAGGUCCCCCACAUUGGAACUGAGACACGGUCCAAACUCCUACGGGAGGCAGCAGUGAGGAAUAUUGGUCGAUGGGCGAGAGCCUGAACCAGCCAAGUAGCGUGCAGGAAGACGGCCCUAUGGGUUGUAAACUGCUUUUGUAUGGGGAUAAAGUCAAUCACGUGUGAUUGUUUGCAGGUACCAUACGAAUAAGGACCGGCUAAUUCCGUGCCAGCAGCCGCGGUAAUACGGAAGGUCCGGGCGUUAUCCGGAUUUAUUGGGUUUAAAGGGAGCGUAGGCUGGAGAUUAAGUGUGUUGUGAAAUGUAGACGCUCAACGUCUGACUUGCAGCGCAUACUGGUUUCCUUGAGUACGCACAACGUUGGCGGAAUUCGUCGUGUAGCGGUGAAAUGCUUAGAUAUGACGAAGAACUCCGAUUGCGAAGGCAGCUGACGGGAGCGCAACUGACGCUGAAGCUCGAAGGUGCGGGUAUCGAACAGG
This 761-nucleotide ribosomal RNA is filed under the name Prevotella melaninogenica. RNAcentral's name for it is "bacterial SSU rRNA". It matches the Rfam family "Bacterial small subunit ribosomal RNA", at positions 28 to 776 of the family's 1533-position model. The record is from RNAcentral. Lineage: Bacteria; Pseudomonadati; Bacteroidota; Bacteroidia; Bacteroidales; Prevotellaceae.